RNAcentral lists this ribosomal RNA (1827 nucleotides) under Staphylococcus aureus M0997. RNAcentral describes it as "bacterial LSU rRNA". It matches the Rfam family "Bacterial large subunit ribosomal RNA", at positions 1094 to 2925 of the family's 2925-position model. The record is from RNAcentral. Lineage: Bacteria; Bacillati; Bacillota; Bacilli; Caryophanales; Staphylococcaceae.
UAGGAUGUUGGCUUAGAAGCAGCCAUCAUUUAAAGAGUGCGUAAUAGCUCACUAGUCGAGUGACACUGCGCCGAAAAUGUACCGGGGCUAAACAUAUUACCGAAGCUGUGGAUUGUCCUUUGGACAAUGGUAGGAGAGCGUUCUAAGGGCGUUGAAGCAUGAUCGUAAGGACAUGUGGAGCGCUUAGAAGUGAGAAUGCCGGUGUGAGUAGCGAAAGACGGGUGAGAAUCCCGUCCACCGAUUGACUAAGGUUUCCAGAGGAAGGCUCGUCCGCUCUGGGUUAGUCGGGUCCUAAGCUGAGGCCGACAGGCGUAGGCGAUGGAUAACAGGUUGAUAUUCCUGUACCACCUAUAAUCGUUUUAAUCGAUGGGGGGACGCAGUAGGAUAGGCGAAGCGUGCGAUUGGAUUGCACGUCUAAGCAGUAAGGCUGAGUAUUAGGCAAAUCCGGUACUCGUUAAGGCUGAGCUGUGAUGGGGAGAAGACAUUGAGUCUUCGAGUCGUUGAUUUCACACUGCCGAGAAAAGCCUCUAGAUAGAAAAUAGGUGCCCGUACCGCAAACCGACACAGGUAGUCAAGAUGAGAAUUCUAAGGUGAGCGAGCGAACUCUCGUUAAGGAACUCGGCAAAAUGACCCCGUAACUUCGGGAGAAGGGGUGCUCUUUAGGGUUAACGCCCAGAAGAGCCGCAGUGAAUAGGCCCAAGCGACUGUUUAUCAAAAACACAGGUCUCUGCUAAACCGUAAGGUGAUGUAUAGGGGCUGACGCCUGCCCGGUGCUGGAAGGUUAAGAGGAGUGGUUAGCUUCUGCGAAGCUACGAAUCGAAGCCCCAGUAAACGGCGGCCGUAACUAUAACGGUCCUAAGGUAGCGAAAUUCCUUGUCGGGUAAGUUCCGACCCGCACGAAAGGCGUAACGAUUUGGGCACUGUCUCAACGAGAGACUCGGUGAAAUCAUAGUACCUGUGAAGAUGCAGGUUACCCGCGACAGGACGGAAAGACCCCGUGGAGCUUUACUGUAGCCUGAUAUUGAAAUUCGGCACAGCUUGUACAGGAUAGGUAGGAGCCUUUGAAACGUGAGCGCUAGCUUACGUGGAGGCGCUGGUGGGAUACUACCCUAGCUGUGUUGGCUUUCUAACCCGCACCACUUAUCGUGGUGGGAGACAGUGUCAAGCGGGCAGUUUGACUGGGGCGGUCGCCUCCUAAAAGGUAACGGAGGCGCUCAAAGGUUCCCUCAGAAUGGUUGGAAAUCAUUCAUAGAGUGUAAAGGCAUAAGGGAGCUUGACUGCGAGACCUACAAGUCGAGCAGGGUCGAAAGACGGACUUAGUGAUCCGGUGGUUCCGCAUGGAAGGGCCAUCGCUCAACGGAUAAAAGCUACCCCGGGGAUAACAGGCUUAUCUCCCCCAAGAGUUCACAUCGACGGGGAGGUUUGGCACCUCGAUGUCGGCUCAUCGCAUCCUGGGGCUGUAGUCGGUCCCAAGGGUUGGGCUGUUCGCCCAUUAAAGCGGUACGCGAGCUGGGUUCAGAACGUCGUGAGACAGUUCGGUCCCUAUCCGUCGUGGGCGUAGGAAAUUUGAGAGGAGCUGUCCUUAGUACGAGAGGACCGGGAUGGACAUACCUCUGGUGUACCAGUUGUCGUGCCAACGGCAUAGCUGGGUAGCUAUGUGUGGACGGGAUAAGUGCUGAAAGCAUCUAAGCAUGAAGCCCCCCUCAAGAUGAGAUUUCCCAACUUCGGUUAUAAGAUCCCUCAAAGAUGAUGAGGUUAAUAGGUUCGAGGUGGAAGCAUGGUGACAUGUGGAGCUGACGAAUACUAAUCGAUCGAAGACUUAAUCAA